This 321-nucleotide long non-coding RNA is filed under the name Elaeis guineensis (African oil palm). RNAcentral describes it as "long non-coding RNA (EGUI_LNC081821)". The record is from RNAcentral. Lineage: Eukaryota; Viridiplantae; Streptophyta; Magnoliopsida; Arecales; Arecaceae.
UCUGUGACUUUUGGAUUAGAGCAAAGAGAAGAAGAAGAGGGUCUUCCUCUAGGGUUGCUGUGUUCACCUCUUCUCUUCCUCCAUUUGUGAGUUUUCUGAGAAUAUCUCACAUAUAAAACUCCUUCUCCUACUUCUCAUCUUUGAAAGAGUCCAAAUCAAGGAGGCAUCUGAUCGACCAUCGAAGAAGGAUUAUUACAAUACUAGCAUACUGUGCUGAUUUCUUGAACUAGGACUUCUGAUCGUGAUUCGUGAGCUCAUGUGGAUGACUCCUAGAGGCCGGACGCAUGUGUGGCUCGCAACAUCAUCCUCAAGCCCGGAUCA